AACUAACAAGGAUUCCCCUAGUAACUGCGAGUGAAGCGGGAAAAGCUCAAAUUUAAAAUCUGGCGGUCUCUGGCCGUCCGAGUUGUAAUCUAGAGAAGCAUUAUCCGCGCUGGACCGUGUACAAGUGUCCUGGAAUGGAACAUCAUAGAGGGUGAGAAUCCCGUCUUUGACACGGACUACCAGGGCUUUGUGAUGUGCUCUCAAAGAGUCGAGUUGUUUGGGAAUGCAGCUCAAAAUGGGUGGUAAAUUCCAUCUAAAGCUAAAUAUUGGCGAGAGACCGAUAGCGAACAAGUACCGUGAGGGAAAGAUGAAAAGAACUUUGGAAAGAGAGUUAAACAGUACGUGAAAUUGCUGAAAGGGAAACGCUUGAAGUCAGUCGCGUUGUUCGAGGAUCCGCCUUGCUUUUGCUGGGCUUACUUCACGGAUAACGGGUCAGCAUCAAUUUUGGUCGUUGGAUAAAGGUCAGGGGAAAGUGGCAUCUUCGGAUGUGUUAUAGCCUUUGGCUGCAUACAACGAUUGGGAUUGAGGAACUCAGCGCGCCGCAAGGCCGGGGGUAACCCACGUUCGCGCUUAGGAUGCUGGCAUAAUGGCUUUAAUCGACCCGUCUUGAAACACGGACCAAGGAGUCUAACAUGCCUGCGAGUGUUUGGGUGGAAAACCCAUGCGCGUAAUGAAAGUGAAAGUUGAGAUCCCUGUCGUGGGGAGCAUUGACGCCCGGACCAGAACUUUUGGGACGGAUCCGCGGUAGAGCAUGUAUGUUGGGACCCGAAAGAUGGUGAACUAUGCCUGAAUAGGGUGAAGCCAGAGGAAACUCUGGUGGAGGCUCGUAGCGAUUCUGACGUGCAAAUCGAUCGUCAAAUUUGGGUAUAGGGGCGAAAGACUAAUCGAACC
Molecule: ribosomal RNA, 891 nt
Filed under: Phaeocollybia radicata
Lineage: Eukaryota; Fungi; Basidiomycota; Agaricomycetes; Agaricales; Phaeocollybiaceae
Description: eukaryotic LSU rRNA
Rfam family: Eukaryotic large subunit ribosomal RNA
Source: RNAcentral